AUUGAACGCUGGCGGCACGCUUAACACAUGCAAGUCGAACGGUAGCGGAGUGCAUUUAUGUACAGACGACGAGUGGCGAACGGGUGAGUAACGCGUAGGAAUAUGUCAUAUAGAGUGGGACAACUUGGGGAAACUCAAAGCUAAUACCGCAUGAUAUCUUAGGAUUAAAGAUAGGGGACCUUCGGGCCUUUCGCUAUAUGGGUAGCCUGCGUACGAUUAGUUAGUUGGUAGGGUAAAGGCCUACCAAGGCGAUGAUCGUUAGCUGGUCUGAGAGGACGGACAGCCACACUGGGACUGAGACACGGCCCAGACUCCUACGGGAGGCAGCAGUGGGGAAUAUUGGACAAUGGGGGGAACCCUGAUCCAGCGAUGCCGCGUGUGUGAAGAAGGCCUGCGGGUUGUAAAGCACUUUCAGUUAGGAGGAAGUAUGUUAGGUUAAGAGCUAGACAUAUUGACGUUACUGACAGAAGAAGCACCGG
Molecule: ribosomal RNA, 479 nt
Filed under: uncultured bacterium
Lineage: Bacteria
Description: bacterial SSU rRNA
Rfam family: Bacterial small subunit ribosomal RNA
Source: RNAcentral